UCUUAAAAGUUUGGUCCUAGCUUUAAUGUCAACUACAAAUAAUAUUACACAUGCAAGCAUCUACCCACCAGUGACAACGCCCUUCUCAACAUAAGGAGCCAAUAUCAGGCACAACUAAAAAUUAGCCAAUAACAUUUAGCCCUAGCCACACCCUCAAGGGCCUGCAGCAGUGAUAAACAUUGAAAAAUAAGCACCAGCUUGAUUCAAUUAUAAUUAACUAGAGUUGGUUUAUCUUGUGCCAGCCACCGCGGUUAAACAAGAAACUCAAGUUGACCUAUAUCGGCGUAAAGUGUGAUUAAGGCUUACUCAAUAUAAUUAAGACUAAAAAUUUUCUAGGCUGUUAUACGCAUUAGUCCAAUAAUACACCCAUUAUUACGAAAGCAGUCUUAUAUAUUUAUGAUAAUUCCGAUUCUCACGAUAGCUGAAACACAAACUGGGAUUAGAUACCCCACUAUGCUCAGCCAUAAACUUAAAUUUACACUCCAUUACCGCCAGAGUAUUACGAGCUAUCGCUUAAAACUCAAAGGACUUGGCGGUGCCCUAAAUCCACCCAGAGGAGCCUGUCCUAUAAUCGAUAAUACACGUUAAACCUCACCACUACUUGUUCAAUCAGCCUAUAUACCACCGUCAUCAGCCAACCUUAUGAAAGUAUUAACGUUAGCAAGACCGAAUAUAUCAAAUAAGUCAGGUCAAGGUGUAGCAUAUGUAGUGGAAAGAGAUGGGCUACAUUCUCUUAUAAAGAAUAUACGAAUAGCCAAAUGAAAUUAUGCUUGAAGGCGGAUUUGGUAGUAAGAAGUGAUUAUAAAACCCCUCUUAAUAAGGCCCUAGGGCGCGCACACACCGCCCGUCACCCUCAUCAAACUAAAGUAAACAAAUUAAAUAAACAAUUAUAUUUAUUCUAGAUGAGGAUAAGUCGUAACAUGGUAAGCGUACUGGAAAGUGCUCUUGGAAUAAC
This 955-nucleotide non-coding RNA is filed under the name Idiocranium cf. russeli BMNH 2008.409. RNAcentral's name for it is "12S ribosomal RNA". It matches the Rfam family "Bacterial small subunit ribosomal RNA". The record is from RNAcentral. Lineage: Eukaryota; Metazoa; Chordata; Amphibia; Gymnophiona; Indotyphlidae.